Long non-coding RNA from Ictalurus punctatus (channel catfish), 868 nucleotides. The record is from Ensembl. NCBI's taxonomy places the organism in Eukaryota, Metazoa, Chordata, Actinopteri, Siluriformes, Ictaluridae.
GGACAAUGAAGACAUUUUUGAUGGUGAUAGAGAUCUAAAUUGCUUUGUUAACAAAAAAUCAUAAUAUGAUGUUGCUGGUGAUGUUAAUGGUGAGAAUGCUGAUGGUGAUAAUGAGGGAGAUGAAGUAAGUAUAAUUUUUGAUGGUGAUACAGACGAAAUCAAUGGUUUCAGUUGUUUUGUUAACACAGAAUCAUAAUAAGACAGUAUUGAUGAGGUUGCUGGUGAUAAUUCUGAUGGUGAUGACACGGGUGAUAAUUCUGAUGGUGAUGAUGCUGUUGAUAAAACUGGUGAUGAUACUGGUGAUAAUUCUGGUGGUGUUGCCAAAGAUAAUAAUGAUGGUGAUGAUACUGGUGAUAACUCUGAUGGUGAUGCUGUUAAUAAAUCUGAUGGUGAUGAUACUGGUGAUAAUUCUGACGGUGAUGAUACUGGUGAUAAUUCUGAUGGUGAUGAUACUGGUGAUAAUUCUGAUGGUGAUGACACUGGUCUUAACUCUGAUGGUGAUGAUACUGGUGAUAAUUCUGAUGGUGAUGAUACCGGUGAUAAUUCUGAUGGUGAUAUGGUGAUAAUUCUGAUGGUGAUGAUACUGGUGAUAAUUCUGAUGGUGAUGAUACUGUUGAUAAUUCUGAUGGUGAUGAUGCUGUCGAUAAAUCUGGCGAUGAUACUGGUGAUAAUUCUGAUGGUGUUGCCAAAGAUAAUAAUGAUAGUGAUGAUACUGGUGAUAACUCUGAUGGUGAUGAUGCCGGUGAUAUUUCUGAUGGUGAUGUAGAUACUUCGUGUGGUGAUGUUGGUGAUAAUUCUGGUGGUGAUGCUGCAGAUAAUUCUAAUAGUGAUGAUGCUGAUGACAAUGACGCUUGUGAUAAUGCUGAAG